CUGUGUCAUAUUUUUAAAGCCCUACUACAUGGAAUUUCAUUACGAAUUCCAUUACAGAUUAGCCAUUUUCUCUUUUGACAGACAUUUUAGUGUUAACUAGUUAACUAAGUUAAUUUUAGUAUUUUUUAAUACUUUGCUGAUACACACGCAUCCUUGUUCAAGUGUGGUUGUUUCUCUGGGUUCAGUAUCACAGGAAAUAUGCAUUAAAUUUUUUUUAAUACACACUGCUACAAUACCUCCCAGAAAGGCUGAUCUGUAUCACUGUGCCUCCCAUCUGCGUGCAAAGCUGUCUGUGUAGAGCUGUUCUAAGGGAGCCUAUGACUCUCAGAGAUCAUGUGAACUUUCUGGUAGAAACUUCUCACCA
This 364-nucleotide long non-coding RNA is filed under the name Bos taurus (domestic cattle). RNAcentral's name for it is "long non-coding RNA NONBTAT012074". The record is from RNAcentral. Lineage: Eukaryota; Metazoa; Chordata; Mammalia; Artiodactyla; Bovidae.